Molecule: ribosomal RNA, 253 nt
Filed under: uncultured bacterium
Lineage: Bacteria
Description: partial 16S ribosomal RNA
Rfam family: Bacterial small subunit ribosomal RNA
Source: RNAcentral
UACGUAGGGUGCAAGCGUUGUCCGGAAUUAUUGGGCGUAAAGAGCUCGUAGGCGGUUUGUCGCGUCUGCUGUGAAAACUCGGGGCUUAACUCCGGGCUUGCAGUGGGUACGGGCAGACUAGAGUGCGGUAGGGGAGACUGGAAUUCCUGGUGUAGCGGUGAAAUGCGCAGAUAUCAGGAGGAACACCGGUGGCGAAGGCGGGUCUCUGGGCCAUUACUGACGCUGAGGAGCGAAAGCGUGGGGAGCGAACAGG